UAAUACGAAGGUCCCAAGCGUUAUCCGGAUUUAUUGGGUUUAAAGGGUGCGUAGGCGGGCUAUUAAGUCAGUGGUGAAAGCCCCAAGCUUAACUUGGGAACUGCCAUUGAUACUGAUGGUCUUGAGUACAUUUGAGGUGGGCGGAAUGUGUCAUGUAGCGGUGAAAUGCUUAGAUAUGACACAGAACACCGAUUGCGAAGGCAGCUCACUAAACUGUAACUGACGCUGAGGCACGAAAGCGUGGGGAGCAAACAGGAUUAGAUACCCUGGUAGUCCACGCCCUAAACGAUGAUCACUCGAUGUGUGCGAUAUACUGUACGCGUCUGAGCGAAAGCAUUAAGUGAUCCACCUGGGGAGUACGACCGCAAGGUUG
This 373-nucleotide ribosomal RNA is filed under the name uncultured bacterium. RNAcentral describes it as "bacterial SSU rRNA". It matches the Rfam family "Bacterial small subunit ribosomal RNA", at positions 521 to 896 of the family's 1533-position model. The record is from RNAcentral.